Molecule: ribosomal RNA, 775 nt
Filed under: uncultured bacterium
Lineage: Bacteria
Description: bacterial SSU rRNA
Rfam family: Bacterial small subunit ribosomal RNA
Source: RNAcentral
AGAGUUUGAUCCUGGCUCAGAGUGAACGCUGGCGGCAGGCCUAACACAUGCAAGUCGAACGGCAGCACAGCAGUAGCAAUACUGUGGGUGGCGAGUGGCGGACGGGUGAGGAAUACAUCGGAAUCUACCUUGUCGUGGGGGAUAACGUAGGGAAACUUACGCUAAUACCGCAUACGACCUACGGGUGAAAGCGGAGGACCGCAAGGCUUCGCGCGAUAAGAUGAGCCGAUGUCGGAUUAGCUAGUUGGCGGGGUAAUGGCCCACCAAGGCGACGAUCCGUAGCUGGUCUGAGAGGAUGAUCAGCCACACUGGAACUGAGACACAGUCCAGACUCCUACGGGAGGCAGCAGUGGGGAAUAUUGGACAAUGGGCGCAAGCCUGAUCCAGCCAUGCCGCGUGGGUGAAGAAGGCCUUCGGGUUGUAAACCCCUUUUCUCGGGGAAGAGUAAGGACGGUACCUGAGGAAUAAGCCUCGGCUAACUACGUGCCAGCAGCCGCGGUAAUACGUAGGAGGCGAGCGUUAUCCGGAUUUAUUGGGCGUAAAGAGGGUGCAGGCGGCUUUUCCAGUCGGAUGUAAAAUCUCCCGGCUUAACUGGGAGGGACCAUUCGAUACUGUUAAGCUAGAGGGCAGUACAGGGAGGUGGAAUUCCCGGUGUAGUGGUGAAAUGCGUAGAUAUCGGGAGGAACACCAGUGGCGAAAGCGGCCUCCUGGGCUGUACCUGACGCUGAGGCCCGAAAGCGUGGGGAGCGAACAGGAUUAGAUACCCUGGUAGUCC